UCCCAAAAUUGGGAAAGACCAAAACAAUAACUACUGAGAGAGUUAAAGCACAAUGAAAUUCCUCUUUCCAUAGGUGUUACUUUGCAAGACAGUAUCAGCCAAACUCACGGUAAAUUGUGAAGCAGCAGCCAGGAAGAAGCAGAGUCACUGAAGCAUUUGUCUGCUCAGACACCAUGGCAAUCCAUUAAGGAGCUUACGGUGACCCAUCGACCUUUGAGCCAACAACACGGAAUCCAUUAUCAUCACCACGGAGGAGCCGGGGCUCUGCCGGCUCGACAAUGGGCCCAGGAAAUCCCAAAUAUAAUUUUUCCUGAGGACUUGAUAUUCAAGAAUAGAGGAAAAGGUAUAAAAAAUGAAAGCAUUCCCGAAAGAUAUGUAAUUUGGAAUAACAACAGAAAAAAGAAUAGCAUAGAUGUGUGCAUAAGAAGUGCCAUCACCAGACACUGGCAACAAACAGAAGCUAUGCUUUCUGUCUAGAAAUCAUGUGUCAGACUACAAACCUCAGGCAAAAGUUAGCAACAACUUGAUGGUGAAAUAACAACAGAAGAGUGAAAAUCUUUGGACGUAAAUGGAGCUCCAAACUGUCUCAGCUUUCAGUGGCCAAAAAUAAACUGGCUCUUGGCUGAAAGACA
This 632-nucleotide long non-coding RNA is filed under the name Anas platyrhynchos platyrhynchos (common mallard). RNAcentral describes it as "lncRNA (ENSAPLG00000025830.1)". The record is from RNAcentral. Lineage: Eukaryota; Metazoa; Chordata; Aves; Anseriformes; Anatidae.